Molecule: ribosomal RNA, 203 nt
Filed under: uncultured Actinomycetales bacterium
Lineage: Bacteria; Bacillati; Actinomycetota; Actinomycetes; Actinomycetales
Description: partial 16S ribosomal RNA
Rfam family: Bacterial small subunit ribosomal RNA
Source: RNAcentral
CGCCUGCACUUCGGGAUAAGCCUGGGAAACUGGGUCUAAUACCGGAUAGGAGCCAUUUUUAGUGUGAUGGUUGGAAAGUUUUUUCGGUGUAGGAUGAGCUCGCGGCCUAUCAGCUUGUUGGUGGGGUAAUGGCCUACCAAGGCGGCGACGGGUAGCCGGCCUGAGAGGGUGGACGGCCACAUUGGGACUGAGAUACGGCCCAG